This is a long non-coding RNA of Taeniopygia guttata (zebra finch), 1551 nucleotides long. The record is from Ensembl. NCBI's taxonomy places the organism in Eukaryota, Metazoa, Chordata, Aves, Passeriformes, Estrildidae.
AUUCACUCAUCUGAUUUCCCCUCUGAAUACUGCUUUUAAAUCCAAGUGCUCUGAUCUCUCUGGAUCAACUCCCCUAGGCUUCAGGCUCUACAAGGAGGACAGUGAUGGUCCCUUUAUGGAAGCUUGAACAAACACAGCUGUGCAAGGAAGAAAGAGGAAAAGUCAAGGAGAGAUUUUUCUUUCAAGAAAUUAUGGGAUUUCUGAACAUCUGGGCAUGCAUGAAGGAAAACAAGUGGAGGAAGACUGGUGCAACUAGCAAAAUGAGAACAUCUUCCCUUUUGCUGGUUGCUGAAAUGAAACAAGUAAAGUUUUGCCUCGUAAUGCAAUCUGACGGACAGCAAGGUUUGAGGCACUGAAGCACUAUGAGGAGAAUUUUCCUUUUUGAGGGAAAAGGGAGCUGCCAUUCCCAUUAAGUGCCCAGCCUAAAUUUGAUUGGACAGUGUCAUCUUUUCUUGCUGAGACCCACAGUACUCCAAGUAUCAUGUAUGCCCACAAGAAUAAAAGUCUUUCAGCUCUAUUCCUAUUUUCCCUCAUCAUUUUAUUGGUGCUGGGGAACAUCAGCUAUCUAAAUAGUGAAGAGGAAUUGAGAAUUAUAAGGAACAUAAGCAGGCAUUACAGCAAGUUAAAGGAAUCGGAUGUCUCUGGGGCUCUGAUGUUGUUAAUUUUCCAAAGUUCUUGUUUAGUUCUGAGACAAAAAUAAGUAUUCAUGCACAAGUUGGCAUGCUAAAGUCAGUGUAAGUGUUCAGCCAGAAGCUGUGGUGCAGUAUCUAAACUGAGCUUUGUUCUCCUCAUUAAUAUCUGGCCUACUGUGAAGCAAGGAAGUGAGGCAGAGUUCCUCAGGCAAGACAGGGAUGCAUCUAAAUGGCAGAGGAUGACAGUUUUCUCCCUAUGGAUGGAUCCUCCUGUAUUAUUUUGCCUCUUUUAACUGGUGGCAGACAAUAUGAAGGAGAGAAUGUAGCUGUUUGUGUGUUCUUAACAAUCAUGCAUCAUCACUGUAUGGUGGUAAUUGAGAGUGGAAACCAAAAUAGUUAAAAUGGCAUCAUUGGACAAAGCUUGAUAUUAAAGCUUCAGCAGAUGUGGAACUUUUUUGUUCAGCCCUUUUUUCCAUUAAGAAAAUCGUUGGCCAACUGCUGGAAAACCAUUUAGUGCUGUGGGAUGACAUUUUGUGUUCAUUUUGUUCAGCAGCAAUGAUUUAUAAAUUACUGUGACUCUACAUAUAAGACCCCCUAUUACAAAAUACCACCCCAAUCCUUCUUCCAUUGUGGUUGAUAUAAAAGCUCUUAUUGGUUUUAAUGUGUUCUGUAUAAAGCCCUGUGAUUGUAGUGGGGAGUCAGGAAUAAUUUAUGCCACCUACUGAUCAACUAAUACUCUCUGGUGGUUUUUUCUUUGUGUUUGGAAUAAGAGAGCACAGACAACUUCCAUUUAAGAUAAUUUAACUGAAGAUUGCUGACUGAGAUUAAGCUGUGUGGAGUGUUUUCUGGUGUUCCUAUUUGAUACUGGAUAAUAGUAAUAAUAACACUAUCUUGUAAUUUCUGCUGUCAUUAAAGUCUU